CCUACGGGGCGCAGCAGUGGGGAAUAUUGCACAAUGGGGGAAACCCUGAUGCAGCGACGCCGCGUGAGUGAUGAAGUAUUUCGGUAUGUAAAGCUCUAUCAGCAGGGAAGAAAAUGACGGUACCUGACUAAGAAGCACCGGCUAAAUACGUGCCAGCAGCCGCGGUAAUACGUAUGGUGCAAGCGUUAUCCGGAUUUACUGGGUGUAAAGGGAGCGUAGACGGAGAGGCAAGUCUGAUGUGAAAACCCGGGGCUCAACCCCGGGACUGCAUUGGAAACUGUUUUUCUAGAGUGUCGGAGAGGCAA
RNAcentral lists this ribosomal RNA (305 nucleotides) under uncultured bacterium. RNAcentral's name for it is "bacterial SSU rRNA". It matches the Rfam family "Bacterial small subunit ribosomal RNA", at positions 338 to 660 of the family's 1533-position model. The record is from RNAcentral.